RNAcentral lists this ribosomal RNA (488 nucleotides) under uncultured Glomeromycotina. RNAcentral's name for it is "SSU rRNA". It matches the Rfam family "Eukaryotic small subunit ribosomal RNA", at positions 569 to 1063 of the family's 1831-position model. Lineage: Eukaryota; Fungi; Glomeromycota. The record is from RNAcentral.
AGCAGCCGCGGUAAUUCCAGCUCCAAUAGCGUAUAUUAAAGUUGUUGCAGUUAAAAAGCUCGUAGUUGAAUUUCGGGACCAAUCUGUCGGUCGUGCCUCGGUACGCACUGGCUUAUUGGUUUCUCCCUUCUGAAGAACCAUGAUGUCAUUCAUUUGGUGUCGUGGGGAAUCAGGACUGUUACUUUGAAAAAAUUAGAGUGUUUAAAGCAGGCUCACGCUUGAAUACAUUAGCAUGGAAUAAUGAAAUAGGACGUUUGAUUCUAUUUUGUUGGUUUCUAGGAUCGACGUAAUGAUUAAUAGGGAUAGUUGGGGGCAUUAGUAUUCAAUUGUCAGAGGUGAAAUUCUUGGAUUUAUUGAAGACUAACUACUGCGAAAGCAUUUGCCAAGGAUGUUUUCAUUAAUCAAGAACGAAAGUUAGGGGAUCGAAGACGAUCAGAUACCGUCGUAGUCUUAACCAUAAACUAUGCCGACUAGGGAUCGGAUGAUGU